AUACGUAGGGAGCGAGCGUUGUCCGGAAUUACUGGGCGUAAAGGGCGCGUAGGCGGCGCUUCAAGUCGUCUGUCAAAUGGGAGGGCUUAACCCUUUUUCGCAGACGAAACUGGAGAGCUUGAGAAGCAGAGAGGCAAACAGAAUUCCUGGUGUAGCGGUGAAAUGCGUAGAUAUCAGGAAGAAUACCAGUGGCGAAGGCGGUUUGCUGGCUGCAUACUGACGCUGAAGCGCGAAAGCCAGGGGAGCAAACGGGAUUAGAUACCCCGGUAGUCCUGGCAGUAAACGAUGUAUGCUGGUGUGAGACUAGCGAUAGUUUCGUGCCGAAGUUAACGCGAUAAGCAUACCGCCUGGGGAGUACGGUCGCAAGAUUGAAACUCAAAGGAAUUGACGGGG
This 393-nucleotide ribosomal RNA is filed under the name uncultured bacterium. RNAcentral's name for it is "partial 16S ribosomal RNA". It matches the Rfam family "Bacterial small subunit ribosomal RNA", at positions 523 to 918 of the family's 1533-position model. The record is from RNAcentral.